This 468-nucleotide ribosomal RNA is filed under the name uncultured bacterium. RNAcentral describes it as "partial 16S ribosomal RNA". It matches the Rfam family "Bacterial small subunit ribosomal RNA", at positions 28 to 507 of the family's 1533-position model. The record is from RNAcentral.
GACGAACGCUGGCGGCGUGCUUAACACAUGCAAGUCGAACGGAAAGGCCCUGCUUUUGUGGGGUGCUCGAGUGGCGAAAGGGUGAGUAACACGUGAGUAACCUGCCCUUGACUUUGGGAUAACUUCAGGAAACUGGGGCUAAUACCGGAUAGGAGCUCCUGCUGCAUGGUGGGGGUUGGAAAGUUUCGGCGGUUGGGGAUGGACUCGCGGCUGAUCGGCUUGUUGGUGGGGUAGGGGCUUACCAAGGCUUUGACGGGUAGCCGGCCUGAGAGGGUGACCGGCCACAUUGGGACUGCGAUACGGCCCAGACUCCUACGGGAGGCAGCAGUGGGGAAUAUUGCCCAAUGGGCGGAAGCCUGAUGCAGCAACGCCGCGUGCGGGAUGACGGCCUUCGGGUUGUAAACCGCUUUCGCCUGUGACGCAGCGUGAGUGACGGUAAUGGGUAAAGAAGCACCGGCUAACUACGUG